GGUUGCGGGCGGGGAAAAUUAGGGCGGGAAAAGUUAGGGGGGAAAACCCUCCCCCUGCCGCCUAACUUUUCCCGCCCUAAUUUUCCCCGCCCGCAACAUCCCCUAAAAA
Non-coding RNA from Paramuricea clavata, 109 nucleotides. NCBI's taxonomy places the organism in Eukaryota, Metazoa, Cnidaria, Anthozoa, Malacalcyonacea, Plexauridae. The record is from the annotation of a GenBank genome assembly.